RNAcentral lists this ribosomal RNA (486 nucleotides) under uncultured bacterium. Its description in RNAcentral is "partial 16S ribosomal RNA". It matches the Rfam family "Bacterial small subunit ribosomal RNA", at positions 30 to 507 of the family's 1533-position model. The record is from RNAcentral.
AUUGAACGCUGGCGGCAUGCCUUACACAUGCAAGUCGAACGGCAGCACGGGUGCUUGCACCUGGUGGCGAGUGGCGAACGGGUGAGUAAUACAUCGGAACAUGUCCUGUAGUGGGGGAUAGCCCGGCGAAAGCCGGAUUAAUACCGCAUACGAUCUACGGAUGAAAGCGGGGGACCUUCGGGCCUCGCGCUUUAGGGUUGGCCGAUGGCUGAUUAGCUAGUUGGUGGGGUAAAGGCCUACCAAGGCGACGAUCAGUAGCUGGUCUGAGAGGACGACCAGCCACACUGGGACUGAGACACGGCCCAGACUCCUACGGGAGGCAGCAGUGGGGAAUUUUGGACAAAGGGCGAAAGCCUGAUCCAGCAAUGCCGCGUGUGUGAAGAAGGCCUUCGGGUUGUAAAGCACUUUUGUCCGGAAAGAAAUCCUUGGCCCUAAUACGGUCGGGGGAUGACGGUACCGGAAGAAUAAGCACCGGCUAACUACGUG